Molecule: long non-coding RNA, 713 nt
Organism: Lepidothrix coronata (blue-crowned manakin)
Lineage: Eukaryota; Metazoa; Chordata; Aves; Passeriformes; Pipridae
Exons: 2
Source: RefSeq, a predicted model, not a curated record
GCGGCCAUUUUGUCUGUGAGGCGACCGCGAGAGGUGAGUCUGAGGUCGGUGCCGCCCGUACCCUGAGGGGCUUCUGAGGGAUCUCUGAGGGGCUGCGGAACCUUCGGCAGCCGCCUUCGCCCUCCCCGGGCCGGCGAGGGAGCGCUCGGCAGCCCUGUUCGCCUCGGGGCGCCGCCAUUUUACAGCGCCCCAAGAGGGCUCCUGGAGGGGCCGACGCUUCCCCGAGAGUCCUUCCAGGGCUUCUCGGAGCUCAGGGGGGUGGCCGGGCCGCGGGGGCUGCUCGGGGAUGAGUCUCUCACAGACCUGUGCUGACCACGCGGUGAAGAGUUCUGAGUUCUCUGAGGGCUCGUCCCGCCCCGGCCUGCGGGUUGGGUGCUUGAUGUUUACAUCAUUCCUGUUACUGACGCCUCUUUUCGUUCUGUUUUCAGCUUUUUAGGCUGCAGAAUGGCGCCUGUGCGAGAGCCGUGCAACCGUCACUGGGGGUCCCCACAGCCCCUGUCGAGGUGAGCACCCUUUUUAUGUCUCUUUUUUUUUAAGAUUUUCAGCUUAAAUUUUCUGUCUUAUGUCCGUGGAGAGCAGGGAAGGCUCCGAAAUCCCCCCCGGGUGCAAAUUUUGGGGUGGAUUCCCCCUUUUUUCGGCUGUUCAGUGACGAGUGACAAAGACAAGCAUAUGGCUGAGGGUCCCUGAUGCCACGUGACCGCUGAGAGCAGCUG